CGAGAAGAGCGUCUUCUGGGGUAAAUAUUGUGCAGGCACUUAAUCGAAAUCUUCCAAAAUCAUGACACCGAGGAGAGUUAUAGCUGGUGUGCUCUUUGCCAUUAUCGCCCUGAGCCAACUUCGCCCCGGUGGCGGAGCAUGCCCUGGCACCGAAACGCAGUGCGAUGCCGGCUGCUGUCCCCU
Ixodes scapularis (black-legged tick) is the source of this 183-nucleotide long non-coding RNA. RefSeq lists it as uncharacterized. The transcript is spliced from 3 exons. The record is from RefSeq and is a predicted model, not a curated record. Lineage: Eukaryota; Metazoa; Arthropoda; Arachnida; Ixodida; Ixodidae.